Molecule: ribosomal RNA, 501 nt
Filed under: uncultured bacterium
Lineage: Bacteria
Description: partial 16S ribosomal RNA
Rfam family: Bacterial small subunit ribosomal RNA
Source: RNAcentral
AUUGAACGCUGGCGGCAGGCUUAACACAUGCAAGUCGAGCGGGGAAGGGUAGCUUGCUACCUAACCUAGCGGCGGACGGGUGAGUAAUGCUUAGGAAUCUGCCAUUUAGUGGGGGACAACAUUCCGAAAGGAAUGCUAAUACCGCAUACGUCCUACGGGAGAAAGCAGGGGAUCUUCGGACCUUGCGCUAAAUGAUGAGCCUAAGUCGGAUUAGCUAGUUGGUGGGGUAAAGGCCUACCAAGGCGACGAUCUGUAGCGGGUCUGAGAGGAUGAUCCGCCACACGGGGACUGGGACACGGCCCAGACUCCUACGGGAGGCAGCAGUGGGGAAUAUUGGACAAUGGGCGGAAGCCUGAUCCAGCCAUGCCGCGUGUGUGAAGAAGGCCUUAUGGUUGUAAAGCACUUUAAGCGAGGAGGAGGCUACUUAGAUUAAUACUCUAGGAUAGUGGACGUUACUCGUAGAAUAAGCACCGGCUAACUCUGUGCCAGCCGCCGCCGUAA